This 442-nucleotide ribosomal RNA is filed under the name uncultured bacterium. RNAcentral describes it as "partial 16S ribosomal RNA". It matches the Rfam family "Bacterial small subunit ribosomal RNA", at positions 338 to 795 of the family's 1533-position model. The record is from RNAcentral.
CCUACGGGCGGCAGCAGUGGGGAAUAUUGGGCAAUGGGCGCAAGCCUGACCCAGCAACGCCGCGUGAAGGAAGAAGGCUUUCGGGUUGUAAACUUCUUUUGUCAGGGAAGAGUAGAAGACGGUACCUGACGAAUAAGCCACGGCUAACUACGUGCCAGCAGCCGCGGUAAUACGUAGGUGGCCAGCGUUGUCCGGAUUUAAUGGGUGUAAAGGGCGUGUAGCCGGGUUGACAAGUCAGGUGUGAAAUCCUGCGGCUUAACCAAAGAACUGCAUGUGAAACUGUUGAUCUUGAGUACUGGAGAGGCAGAUGGAAUGCCUAGUGUAGCGGUGAAAUGCGUAGAUAUUAGGAGGAACACCAGUGGCGAAGGCGGUCUGCUGGACAGCAACUGACGGUGAGGCGCGAAAGCGUGGGGAGCAAACAGGAUUAGAUACCCCUGUAGUC